Molecule: ribosomal RNA, 497 nt
Filed under: uncultured bacterium
Lineage: Bacteria
Description: partial 16S ribosomal RNA
Rfam family: Bacterial small subunit ribosomal RNA
Source: RNAcentral
GAUGAACGCUGGCGGCGUGCCUAAUACAUGCAAGUAGAACGCUGAAGCUUGGUGCUUGCACCAAGCGGAUGAGUUGCGAACGGGUGAGUAACGCGUAGGUAACCUGCCUCUUAGCGGGGGAUAACUAUUGGAAACGAUAGCUAAUACCGCAUAAAAGUCGAUAUCGCAUGAUAUUGAUUUGAAAGGUGCAAAUGCAUCACUAAGAGAUGGACCUGCGUUGUAUUAGCUAGUUGGUGAGGUAACGGCUCACCAAGGCGACGAUACAUAGCCGACCUGAGAGGGUGAUCGGCCACACUGGGACUGAGACACGGCCCAGACUCCUACGGGAGGCAGCAGUAGGGAAUCUUCGGCAAUGGGGGCAACCCUGACCGAGCAACGCCGCGUGAGUGAAGAAGGUUUUCGGAUCGUAAAGCUCUGUUGUAAGAGAAGAACGAGUGUGAGAGUGGAAAGUUCACACUGUGACGGUAACUUACCAGAAAGGGACGGCUAACUACGUG